UACGUAGGCAGCAAGCGUUGUUCGGAGUUACUGGGCGUAAAGGGUGUGUAGGCGGUUUUUUAAGUUUGGUGUGAAAUCUCCCGGCUCAACUGGGAGGGUGCGCCGAAUACUGAAAGACUAGAGUGCGGGAGAGGAAAGUGGAAUUCCUUGUGUAGCGGUGAAAUGCGUAGAUAUCGGGAGGAACACCUGUGGCGAAAGCGGCGCACUGGACCAUAACUGACGCUGAUGCGCGAAAGCUAGGGGAGCAAACAGG
RNAcentral lists this ribosomal RNA (253 nucleotides) under uncultured bacterium. Its description in RNAcentral is "partial 16S ribosomal RNA". It matches the Rfam family "Bacterial small subunit ribosomal RNA", at positions 524 to 776 of the family's 1533-position model. The record is from RNAcentral.